Molecule: long non-coding RNA, 829 nt
Organism: Nicotiana tabacum (common tobacco)
Lineage: Eukaryota; Viridiplantae; Streptophyta; Magnoliopsida; Solanales; Solanaceae
Source: RefSeq, a predicted model, not a curated record
AGUCCUCUCUCUCAUANUUUCCUCUCCACCCUUCCCCGCUGCGUACUGCCCUCCAAAAAUCGCCUGCGGUGGCGGGCCACCUCCAAACCACCCCAAACCGUACAAUCCCCAGCCCCUCCUCGGUCCAAAUCCACCACCAGUUUCCCUCAAAUCCGUCUCAAACAAUUCGUUUAGUAGAUGUAAGAAAUCACAAACCUGAAUUCAUCCCCUUUUCCAUUUUUCCUCACAUCUCGGACUAUUUGGGGUUAAUACCAACAUCAAUAGACUACUCUCAAUGAGAGCUAUCGAUUGAUGGUAAGUUUAUCUUGUUUCAUGACCAUCGGAAUCUAGUCAAACUCUGGUUGACCGGCCAGUUCCCACCCAUAUCGCCAUGGUGUCAUUUUCUCAGGCUUAGCAAGGGAUAUUAUUGCAUGUAGCACUGGCCGGUGUAAAGCAACUAUGGUGGUUGGCAAUAAUAGCCCCCUGGCUAUUUGUUGCAAAACCAUGAGCAAGCCUGAAGAAACGAGUGGCCAGUGGACAGAAAUGCUCCAUGUGAACUAUCCAUAUGUAAUUCAGCUAUGAUAAACAAUUUCAUGUAGUUCAUGUAUUGUAUUUUAAAAUUAAAGGAUUAUAGAGUUAUGGUUUGGAAUCUAGUACGAUUAUUGGCUAAUUUAGUUUAACCUAAUACACAAUGGGUCAUACUUGCAUUAAUGGCCCAAUAAGGGGUUAAUUAGGUAAGUCUGAUCUUCGGAGGAUAUUGGGCCUUGAAGUUAGCCCAUUUGAACAGGCCUGAACUAAGAAUGUAAUUUUCGUCAUUUGCUAUGUUCGUUAGAUCGUGUAAUUCCUUGUA